This 549-nucleotide ribosomal RNA is filed under the name uncultured bacterium. Its description in RNAcentral is "bacterial SSU rRNA". It matches the Rfam family "Bacterial small subunit ribosomal RNA", at positions 355 to 896 of the family's 1533-position model. The record is from RNAcentral.
UGGGGAAUAUUGGACAAUGGGCGAAAGCCUGAUCCAGCCAUGCCGCGUGUGUGAAGAAGGCCUUUUGGUUGUAAAGCACUUUAAGUGGGGAGGAAAAGCUUAUGGUUAAUACCCAUAAGCCCUGACGUUACCCACAGAAUAAGCACCGGCUAACUCUGUGCCAGCAGCCGCGGUAAUACAGAGGGUGCAAGCGUUAAUCGGAAUUACUGGGCGUAAAGCGCGCGUAGGUGGUUAUUUAAGUCAGAUGUGAAAGCCCCGGGCUUAACCUGGGAACUGCAUCUGAUACUGGAUAACUAGAGUAGGUGAGAGGGGAGUAGAAUUCCAGGUGUAGCGGUGAAAUGCGUAGAGAUCUGGAGGAAUACCGAUGGCGAAGGCAGCUCCCUGGCAUCAUACUGACACUGAGGUGCGAAAGCGUGGGUAGCAAACAGGAUUAGAUACCCUGGUAGUCCACGCCGUAAACGAUGUCUACCAGUCGUUGGGUCUUUUAAAGACUUAGUGGCGCAGUUAACGCAAUAAGUAGACCGCCUGGGGAGUACGGCCGCAAGGUUA